Molecule: ribosomal RNA, 246 nt
Filed under: uncultured bacterium
Lineage: Bacteria
Description: partial 16S ribosomal RNA
Rfam family: Bacterial small subunit ribosomal RNA
Source: RNAcentral
CAGAGUUUGAUCCGGCUCAGGAUGAACGCUAGCUACAGGCUUAACACAUGCAAGUCGAGGGGCAGCAUGAACUUAGCUUGCUAAGUUUGAUGGCGACCGGCGCACGGGUGAGUAACACGUAUCCAACCUUCCGUUUACUCAGGGAUAGCCUUCCGAAAGAAAGAUUAAUACCUGAUAGUAUGGUGAGAUUGCAUGAUAGCACCAUUAAAGAUUUAUUGGUAAACGAUGGGGAUGCGUUCCAUUAGG